CCUUUUCCCUUUGCUCCUGAAGGACCCGGACUCUGUGAUGAUUUCUCUUGCUCUUUCCCAAGUGUUGCAGAAGGACAGGGAAUCUCAGAGGCUAGGUCUCGUCCCACAAAAACUGAAGGACCCGUAAUCUGCGACACUGUUGCCUUCAGUUGAGCCAUCUCAUUGUCGACCUUGUCAAAACGCUCUUGUAUAUCCUUCUGCAGCAGCUCCUUAAAAGAAUUGAAAGAAGAGUUGAACAAACCUUCAAUGAAGGUCUUCAUAUCACCGGAGACAACACUGUUAUGUUCAGCCGCCCUUUUACAAAGAAGUUGUUUCUUUCGAGACUCGACACCAGGAUCAAUAAGCUUACGCUUGCCCCUUUUUGUAACAACACCCGGUUCCUCUUCAACAACAGUCGGUUCCUCCACAGGUGUUUCUGUGACAUUUUCAACUUCAACAUCCUCUUCUGCGUCAGAUAACUCUAUAUUUGGAGGCAGAGUCUCAACUUCCCAAGUGAAUUGCUUCCAGUCUUGUUUGGCACUGAUCAGAGCAACAAUGCGAUUGACUCUUUCGUCAUUCUUCUCAUCUUCCCUAAAGAACUCAGCAUUAUCAGUUGCAUCCAAGCUCCCAGUAGAUGAUAUAAACGGGAACAACUCUCCCUGGGAAUAAAAAACGAAACAGUAAGCUUCAGUUGUUCGAUUAUUGAACUCAACAUUAAUAUAAGAAAUAUAACUACCUUAUCAAAGUUGGACUCUAGGCUGGUGAUAUCUUGAUAUGAUACUUUUCCACUUCCUUUCCAAUUCCUACAUCUCACUUUCGUCACAUUGUUUUUGAUCUUUUUACCCACCAUAGAACCGAUGUCUGGGAUUGCCUCCAUAAUCCAUAUCUGAAACGCAUAUGAGAAUCCAUCCAACACAUAGCUGUUCUUCAGAUGCACAUCUUCCCUUGCCUUGAAUAUUGAUGCAAGCAGCUCAUCAUACGCGCGAAGACCCCAAGGAUACAUCCUCAUUUUCUCAAAAUCCAUCACCAAACGGAUGAACUCGUGAGGGAUAAACACUCUCAAAUCCUUAGCAAUGAGGAAUCCAUGUAUAAUACACAGAUACACUAGUCGCACCCUGUCCACAUACGUCCACUCCUUACAGACUUUAAGGAGCUCAUCCCUUAUAACCAACAAGUUGAUCUUCUUAUUUUCCUUCAGCACAGUGCUCCAGAACCCUUUAUCACUCUUCCAGUUAUUGAAGUCUACGUCGGGUUCUUCUUUGAACUUCAAUCCAGUCACAGCAUAAAACUCUUGCAUAGAAAACCUGAGAGGCCUCUUUGCAAAUAGAAACCACAAUUCGUGAAGCUUGGAAACCUUGAGCUGCUUGCAUAUGAAGCUGUGAAUAACCUUCCCUGAGUAAAUAAGCUUGUUCUCUACUAUUGCCAGAAUCGGACCAAAGACAGGGUCUUUCAAAACUUCUUGAUACUCAUCCCUGAGAACCACCUUCAGCGUCCCCAGAAUCGUGCGUCUACAGGUGUUGUUAAUCUUAUCAAUCUUGGUCUCAGCUCCUUCUUCAAUAAUGCGUUUUGGAAACUGGUAAUCCAUUCCUAUAAAACAUGAAACAGAAAACAUCAACUCAUUAGCCUUUUAAGUCCAUUACGAAUUCAAAACACAAAGCAAAGUCAAUACCAAACAAAAAAAGAGUUCAGAAUCGUAUAGAACAAGAACUACAAUGACCUCACAAUCAACUCAACCCACAAACGAAAAUCAAAACCAUAAACGCGAAUCGAUUUGUAUUUUUAAACAAUUCAACCUCUUUAUACUACAUACACGUAAACGAAAACGAAAAAAAAAACAGAAAGGGGAUUUCCAAACCCUAACCUUCAAUUCCUUGUAAUCGAUGGUUCAAAAGAGUACAGACGACAGAAGGAGGAGGACGGAGAGAUGUGACGACGCGUUCGUCGUCUCCGACGAACUUAAACGGACACAAUAGAGAGAGAGAGUCGACGGUGGAAUCGCCUCUGAGUUUUAGAAAAGGGGAGUCGGAGACAAAGAAAGUGAUGCGUCUUUUUUACUGAAUCCAGGAAUUUUUAACUUAUUACUUUUAACCUAUUUUAUUAAAAAGGACAAAACAGGUUUUUCAUUUUUUUUUGUUCUAAAGGGACAAAGAUUGAGUUUUUUAUUGUAAGGGGACAAAGAUAUGCUUCUUUUGUUCUAUAUCGGCAAAAUUCUCAAAAAAAAAUCACCACGAUCACUUUCUUUUACCAUAAACUGUAAUUAACUCAUCAAAAUAAUAAUUAAUGAAAACAUGAUAGCACUACCCUCGAACCAGCACUUAUAAAUAGAGGAUCGGUGCGAGUAACGUACAUUCAUCAUCAGCAUUACAAUCACAUUCAUAAUCGUUACCAUCCACAUCACAUAUAAACACACAAAAGAUGGCGAAUUUCUCCAGUGCUCUCAUUCUUUUGUUCGUGUUCAUCACAAGUAACAACAACAACAACACUCUCUGCUCUUGCUUUCUUCUCAGAUAGUUUUAUUUUGUUUUUGUUUUUAUUAUGUUGUAUUUAACAAUUUUAUUCGGAAACUGCAGGCGGCGUUGCUGUUUCCGCCACCGUCUUCACUUUACAGAACAGCUGUCCUUACACCGUCUGGCCCGGGAUCCUCUCCGGCAACAGUAACACCCUCGGCGACGGCGGGGAGCAAUAUAGGAUUCUCAAUUCGUUCAAUGCAAGUUAUGUUUCAGAGACUGUGUUUUUCCUUUUAUCUCGUUUUAUGCAAGUUAUGUUUCAGUAUUUUCAUGUUGAAUUUUAUGUUUAAUAGACUAUGCGUUUUCUUCUUCAGAUGAUGAUUGGAAGUUGUGUUUCAGUUUGUUCAUGUCAAAUGAUCCAAUAGGUUUUGCCAUUAGAAUUCAAUAGAAGUUUUAUUUUAAAAUGAAACAGAGAACCAUUACAUUAUCAAUCACGUUUGGACCAGAGACAUAAAAUAGUGAGAAUGGAUCCUAAACAACCUACAUCGAUCGAAUUCUUAUGUUUCAUAACUUCCUCCUCAACUGUCUUCUUCAUGGAACUUCUCAGAUCUUCAAUUUCCUCGCUAAUUCUCGUCUGAUGCUCAUCCAUCCUCUGAAUCUCAUCUAACAGAGCCUCGUCUACCCACUUAAAAAUAUGGUUUUCGUUCUUUCUCUGUUCGAAAACACAAAAACAAGUCAAUCUCACAUCUGUUUAUUCUUCGAUCAUAUUGAAUAAUGAUGAAUAAGUAAUUAAAGAUUUACCUGUAUACCAAUCUCGCAUCUGAAGAACCGUCUGUAUGGGUUCUCUUUGGUUUUUGAAACAUAUGUGACAAUCCCCUUCCCACACCAGCAUCUGGAAGGGAUUCCUUCACUGUGAUUCAUGUUCGACAUUCUUUGUUCAGAAGGAACGAGAAGUUUUUUUUUGAGAUGUAGGAGAAACAAACGAUGGAGUAUGUAGGGUUUCAGGCCAUUUGAUGGUCUUAUAUAAGAUUUUUUUAGGUCAAAAGUUCUUACACUCUGGUUUGAUUUUAGGGUAAACGUAAAACGUGUUUUGAGUAAUAAGAUUUCUCGUGAUUAUUAAGAAUUAUUUGUGAUUUAUAAGGUUUGUGUGGAUUCAUUGGGUUACCUUCGUUUGUCAUACUUUAGUAGCAUUUAGGGCAUAGAUAGGGGUUCAAAUGGUUUGUGAUUCUUUAGUGGCAUUUAGGGCAUCGAUAAGGUUUCAAAUAAAAUUUGUCUUGAUUAUUAGAUUUUUUUGUGAUUUAUAAGGUUUGUGUGGAUUCAUUGGGUUAUGCUCGAGGUUAGAAAUUGAUAUGAAUUUUUAGGGCAUAGAUAGGGGUUCAAAUGGUUUGUCACAACAGUAAAAUCAAGCAAUAGUCCGAUCUCGAGAUUAGAAAUUGAUAUGAAUUUUUAGGGCAUAGAUAGGGGUUCAAAUGGUUUGUCACAACAGUUAAAUCAAGCAACUAAAUAUUUCAAAUAAAGUAAAAACUAAAGAGUAACUACAAGAAUCAAAGUCAAGAGUCAAAUAAGAGAGCCAAUACCAAUCUAUUCCUUAACAAGUAAUAAACGAAAGCUACUUCAAUCAAGUUCCACUAGAGGAUUUGUGAUCAACUUCGGUGGAAUGUAUUGUGCCAUUCUCAAAAUAAGUUCAGGAUCAUUGGCAGCUUCCCAUAGGUCGUAAACAAUCUUUUGGCGCGCUUCUCGAAUGUUGCUGUCAUUCACCAGAGAGAAGUCCAAGCCUAGAAGAUGACAUUCAAUGUGCUUCAAGGCAUAUACUCCACAAUCACUGCUACUCUUGUUUAGUAAGUAGGGCAUUGGGGCGUAACUGACAGUAUACUGCUUGACCGUGAGUUGCUGCCGACUCUUUGAAGAGUGAACACAUUUGACAAUUCUAGGGAUGAGAAUGGCAAAUGGCUCUACUUCCUUGUUGUAUUUCAAUCCCUCACAGUCAAAGACCUCUAUCGACCGAGAAACAAAGUUGACACACAUAGAGAUCCAGUGUUUACCGACAUUAAGAGGCACAUACAUGCGUGUGACGUCAAGAUCCCACAUCAGUCCUGUUCGUCCGUGUGGUGGAAGUUCACCAAUGCCGUACCGGUGAAGCAAUUCUGAUACUUUGAAUUUCUUCUUGUCCUUCCGAAACUCUUCGAAAGAGGUCUUCAUUUGAUUACUGAACAUGCAGCUCAUGAAUGCUACUUUUGUUGGUUCCCAUCGUCGCAAAGUAGUCCUCUCAGUGAAUAAGUACAUCAUAGCAUCAAUUUCCUGAAAAUUUUAUAAUAGAUUGUAAGUCGUGUAAUGAAAAUAUUAAGGAACAAAUUUAGACUCACGUGAUUCAAAAGCCAUUCUGUAGGUCCCAUGACGCGUGCUGCUAACACACUUGUUAACAUAGAAGGUCCAAUUUUCAGUUCCCUGCAAUGCAAAAGUCAGUUCAAAAUGAUACAGUAUCUAACGUGUUGAGAAACAAUAUAAACUUACUUGGAAGUUGAGGACCACUCAAUUAUUUUGGCCCAUGCAUCCUCAGGGACAAACACUAGUGAGUGAUCAAUGUCAUGCACCCGGUCCUCAAGUAAUUCCUCAUCUUUCAGAGUUGGUGGUUUCCAAUUCGGAGGCUUAAAUGAAGACAGUGGAGUAAUCCAUUCUGCUGGUUCGUCGUCCUUGAUUUUUUGUGAGGGAUCAAAGCCUUUAACAUGUGAUGCUUGAGAAAGGUUUCCCACGGCGUCUUGUAAAGAUUCUUGCGUCCCCUUAUCUACAUAGUUCGAUGAUUGUGACAAAUUCUUCAAAAAAUCAAACAUGUCAUCGUCAUCAGUUUUAAAUUCCUGUAAAUAAAGCCAAGCAUAACAACAUUAAUAGCAAAUAGAGUCAACAUAGUGACAAAAUUACAUUACAAAAUAGCCAAGCCAACAUGUCAUAGUUAUCAGUUCACUUCAUAGCAAACAACAAGAUACAUUACAAGCCGAUAUGCAACAUAGCACAAUACAAGGAUAUUACAAAAUAGUCAAACCACAGAAACACUUACAACCGAAGAUGAUUCGUCCUACCUAAUUCAAAGCUUCAUGUUUUGGUUACCUUUCUUACUGGCCGAGGGCUACGACGAAGCGGAGGAGGAUCAACACUCACAGAUGCCUUGCCUUUGCCUUUUCCCUUUGCUCCUGAAGGACCCGGACUCUGUGAUGAUUUCUCUUGCUCUUUCCCAAGUGUUGCAGAAGGACAGGGAAUCUCAGAGGCUAGGUCUCGUCCCACAAAAACUGAAGGACCCGUAAUCUGCGACACUGUUGCCUUCAGUUGAGCCAUCUCAUUGUCGACCUUGUCAAAACGCUCUUGUAUAUCCUUCUGCAGCAGCUCCUUAAA
RNAcentral lists this long non-coding RNA (5810 nucleotides) under Brassica napus (rape). Its description in RNAcentral is "long non-coding RNA (BNAP_LNC006414)". Lineage: Eukaryota; Viridiplantae; Streptophyta; Magnoliopsida; Brassicales; Brassicaceae. The record is from RNAcentral.